CCUACGGGUGGCAGCAGUGGGGAAUAUUGGGCAAUGGGCGCAAGCCUGACCCAGCAACGCCGCGUGAAGGAAGAAGGAUUUCGGGUUGUAAACUUCUUUUGUCAGGGAAGAGUAGAAGACGGUACCUGACGAAUAAGCCACGGCUAACUACGUGCCAGCAGCGGCGGUAAUACGUAGGUGGCAAGCGUUGUCCGGAUUUACUGGGUGUAAAGGGCGUGUAGCCGGGUUGACAAGUCAGAUGUGAAUUCCUGCGGCUUAACCGCAGAACUGCAUUUGAAACUGUUGAUCUUGAGUACUGGAGAGGCAGACGGAAGUCCUAGUGUAGCGGUGAAAUGCGUAGAUAUUAGGAGGAACACCAGUGGCGAAGGCGGUCUGCUGGACAGCAACUGACGGUGAGGCGCGAAAGCGUGGGGAGCAAACAGGAUUAGAUACCCGGGUAGUC
RNAcentral lists this ribosomal RNA (442 nucleotides) under uncultured bacterium. RNAcentral describes it as "partial 16S ribosomal RNA". It matches the Rfam family "Bacterial small subunit ribosomal RNA", at positions 338 to 795 of the family's 1533-position model. The record is from RNAcentral.